AUUGAACGCUGGCGGAAUGCUUUACACAUGCAAGUCGAACGGUAGAGGGGGCAACCCCUCGAGAGUGGCGAACGGGUGAGUAAUAUAUCGGAACGUGCCCAGUCGUGGGGGAUAACGUAGCGAAAGUUACGCUAAUACCGCAUACGAUCUAAGGAUGAAAGCGGGGGAUCGCAAGACCUCGCGCGAUUGGAGCGGCCGAUAUCAGAUUAGGUAGUUGGUGGGGUAAAGGCUCACCAAGCCAACGAUCUGUAGCUGGUCUGAGAGGACAACCAGCCACACUGGAACUGAGACACGGUCCAGACUCCUACGGGAGGCAGCAGUGGGGAAUUUUGGACAAUGGACGCAAGUCCGAUCCAGCCAUUCCGCGUGCAGGAUGAAGGCCCUCGGGUUGUAAACUGCUUUUGUACGGAACGAAAAGGUCUCUCUUAAUACGGGGGACUCAUGACGGUACCGUAAGAAUAAGCACCGGCUAACUACGUGCCAGCCGCCGCAGUAA
This 496-nucleotide ribosomal RNA is filed under the name uncultured bacterium. Its description in RNAcentral is "partial 16S ribosomal RNA". It matches the Rfam family "Bacterial small subunit ribosomal RNA", at positions 30 to 523 of the family's 1533-position model. The record is from RNAcentral.